This is an RNA transcript of Cornus florida, 3636 nucleotides long. It is a transcript of the gene named cysteine proteinase inhibitor 3-like, with no coding region annotated. NCBI's taxonomy places the organism in Eukaryota, Viridiplantae, Streptophyta, Magnoliopsida, Cornales, Cornaceae. The transcript is spliced from 5 exons. The record is from RefSeq and is a predicted model, not a curated record.
UAUUUCUUCUGCCUAAGUACAAAAAAAUAAAAUAAAAAAUAAAAAUAAAAUAAAAUUACAAAUCAAUCCAAACGGGCGGGGUCUAAAAAAAUAAAAUAGUAUUAAUAAUACAAAAUGGAUACUCCAGGAUUCUUCUGCCUAUCGCUCAGCCGCCGCUCAAUCCGACCGCCAGAAAACGCCCUCCGCCGCCGCUCAAUCCGUACGCACCCAUCCGUCCAUGGCUCUUCGUUGUGUGCUUGAGAGGGUGGGUAGAAUCGGUUACAACAAUCAUCUGAAGACAAAGAUAGAGGGUGGAAUUAUCACCCACCAAGACCCGAAAGUCUGGGUUUUGACUUGGACGAUGAACCUGAUAUCGAUCGGACGGAGAUCUUAUUCGGUGGAAUUGAACGCUUCUGUGGCCCUUUAGAUGAUCCGCUUCCUAUAGAAGCCGCCAGUAUGGCUGUGGAGCUACACAACAAGCAACAGAAUUCAGAUCUUGAGUUUGUGAGAGUGGUCAAGGCAAACAGACAAUGGGUGGCUGGUGUAAUUUGGUAUAUCACAUUUGAGGCAACUGAUAACGCUGGUGUGAAGAACACUUAUCAAGCUAGGGUUUAUUGUACAAUUGAAAAUGAAUGGGGUUUAGAGGUGUUUAGGCUCGCUCCCGGGAGUCCUUCAAAUCUGGUUGUUAAGCAAGGUGAUCAGGAUGAAGUAGGUGAAGGGGCCUUGAAGCAGCUGCUUAACUGAAGCACGAUAUGAUACUUCAGUGCAUGUUGGGUUGGAGUGAUAAUAUGUUCUAUUGAUGUUGCACUUACAUUGACUUAAAUAACAGGACAGUACAGGAAAAGUCAUUUUUGCUAAUCACUUUCUCGGGGCCGAGUCUCACUUUGAAGCGCAAGGACUAUGUAAUUGAAGGGUAAUUCAGUAUAAUGUUGAGUCGAAUAUUUUGAUACAAAUGCGAGUGAUUCCAUUUGAAUGGUUACUUUUACACACUUUUACAUUUUGAUUGGAACCUUGCUUGCACAGUUUGGAUUGGUGGGAUAAUUUUCCCCACCAUACUCUGCCCCCAAUUCCCUCCAAAUUUGCUCUAUGUGUGGAUAGACGUGGGUGGUUUGACAACAACUUCCUUCCCUUCUACUGUGGCGAAGGAAAGAUUAGAAUUUUUGAACAAGAACAAAUGUCCCUUCCGUUGGUGAAUAAUUAAUCUUCAAACAACUCGUUUGGAAUUGAGGAGGACGCUCCCAAGGUUAAAAAAAGUGUAUAACAAUUACAAAUCCGUUUCAGAGGAUGGGCGGAGUUGGUAUGAUAAAUUUUCUAACGAGGCGGAGUAGGAUUUAGCCAAACUCGUACCAACUCCGUCCCAUUGCCAUCCCUAGCGGCCACAGAGAAGGCUGCCUCUGCUAGAGAAGUAUAACAAUCUAAUCAUGACGAAGGUUUCUUGGAAGAUGAGAGAUCAUGUGGCUGAAAACAUGGUCAAAGAAUUGGAAGUUACCAAUGACGGCGGGAGGGCCAUCGUUAAGGAGUGUAAGCUUGCUGGUAAGCAUCUGUAGGAGAGAUAUCUUAAGAUCUGUAUGUCCAGAGGAGCUGCUUCUUUCAGGUAUGGAUUUGAUCAAGCUCUACUACCUGAGGGCAAGAUGGAGGUGAAUGAUCCUUUUGCAUUUGACACAAAGCUCAAGGUCACCUUCCUUUAUGAUGUUGAUCCAAAGCCCAGCAAGGAAGAGAUAUCCAUUCAGAAACUCCUGAAUGAAUCAGCUGCCGCAACAUAAACUUCUACCAUCAAUGCAUAGAUAUAUGUGUGUGUGUGUGUGAAAUGUCAAUAACGCCCGUCACUUAAAAUGAGAAAAUCGGGAGGAGUUCCUAAGCCCGAAAGUCGUCCUGACUGCGAAAAAUUCUAAAAAUGAUCUUGUCAAUUCUAAUUGGUUCAAAAUAAAUAAAAAUGCAAUUCUAAAACUCUCAGCUCGAAAAAAUGACCUAACGGCCCUCUUUGUAUAGACAGUACUUUAGUUUAAUGGGAGUAGGAUUGUGAAUCGUGUUCUACGUAAACAAAACCAUUCAAAUGUGACAGUAGAAUUGGGUCCUUUCUUUUUUAUUUGUUUUUACAUGAAUAGUUUAUACUUUGAUGGUCAAUUAUCUCAUGACUUAUCAACCGAAAUUAAACUUUUUGACGGAUAUGGUGCUCCCAUUUCUACAAUGUUUCUAUUAUAAUUCCAAAGGUUUUUACUUUCUAACAUUAUUAAAAUCGCUGCAUCUUACCAAUGGGCCAUUAGCUCAAUGGUAUAAUCUCCCCACACUCAAAGAGGAGGGGAGGGAUUUCUGCAUCUUCUAGUGCAAGCGAUUCUUGGUGCUUUUUGUUUUUCGUUUUUAUUUUUUCUUUUUAUUUUUUCUUAUUAAUAUUAGAUAGCCUAGGAUAAGGUUUUGCCAAGUAUCAACUCAAACUUAUGAAGAAUGCUAUUGCCUUUAGUGUCAAUCUUUGUUUCCCAGCUGGGGUUGAUGUUUGGGAAAAGUCGUGAUCAAUUAUGCAUAGAUAUCAAUUGGCCUUAGAGCGAGUUGUUUGGGAGAACAUACUCUAUUUUCAGGUGCAUUAUUUGCCUGCUAUGUUUUCAUUUUUCUUUGUAAUCAAAUCACACUUAUUUCGAAGAGUGAUAGGCUGAUAGAUUUUCUUAGUUUCUUCCACGCACAAACCACUAUAUAUUCAAUUUUGAAAAGAAAAAGAAAUCUACAAAUUCAGUGAACUUGUUCUCCUCUUGUCAUCUGACAGUUGCAUCAGCUAGAUUUUCUUGUUGAUUCUGUUGCUCCUCUAGCUAAUUUGUUUCAAUGGUAAAUCUCUUAAUUUUUCUUUAUGUGCUUCUGUGGGUGUGCAUGCAUCUUUUUUUGUACUUAAUUAGGACAGAAUCCCCAGAAACAUAAAAAAAACUGUAUAAAAUGCAUCAAUUUGUUAAAAGUUACAUAGGUUGUUCAUUGAAUGACUAUUGAUUAUGUCAAAAGCAUCUCCAAGAUUGAACACUAUAUUAAUAUUUUAACUUCAGUUGUUGCUGAUCGAGUUUGAGGAAUAUAGGCUGAGAUGGUUUUGAUAUAAUUUGACAUAGAUAGACUAAUGGCAUCUAGUUGAUUCUUAUUUUCAGGGCAUGUGGGAUACAUAGUUAGGGUAGCAAGGUUGUAAAUAAGAAUGUGGAAUGCCAUUUAGAGGCUUAAUGAUGGGAUUGUAGGAAAAAAAAAAAAAAAAAAAAAAAAAAAUAAUAAUAAUAAUAAUGAAUGAGAACACAAACACCUGAAUAGGUUUUUCAAAAAAAGUAGACUAGUUUUUAUUUAAUUCUUUUUUUUCUCUUUUUGGUGUGUUUCUACAGGUGAUCGGGACGAACUAGGUGAAGAGGCCUUGAAGUGGCUGCUUAACUGAAAAUAGAUCGGCAAGCGUCUACAAAUGUUGGCAGAUCAUCGUUCAGAUGCUCCGAGUAUUGCUGCAAAAGGUUUUUGGUAUUUCUAUACCUGAGUUGUUGAAGGACAUCUUUGGAUUUUUGAAUUACAGAAGUUAUAAUAUUUUCCAAUAGUUUUAGAGAGUUUGGCAUAUCUAUUGUCUAAUAGUGCAUAGAGUCUCACUAAUUCUAUAAUUACAUGGUGAACAAUUGUAGCUUUUGGUAUUUUGUUCAAAAUAGUGUAUUCUAA